UGAUGAUAAUUCCUCAUGUGUCUGAAAGUUACAGGCAUAUGGUUUUAGGUCAUCAUAUAUAAACAGAAACUCUUCACCCAUGUUGGUUAUGUAAGCUGUGCUUACACAUAUUCCAUAGAUGGUUUUGCAGUUUCUGAUAAUU
This is a small nucleolar RNA of Argiope bruennichi, 142 nucleotides long. RefSeq annotates it as small nucleolar RNA SNORA79. The record is from RefSeq and is a predicted model, not a curated record. NCBI's taxonomy places the organism in Eukaryota, Metazoa, Arthropoda, Arachnida, Araneae, Araneidae. The transcript has a single exon.